GAAACUCACCUGAACCUCACGAUGAUACGCGGUGUUAUUCUCGUCGCGGCGUGUCUGGCGGCGGUGGCUGCUCUGCCCAUUGAACUAAAUGAGAACAGAAUGGCGUAUGUAAUGGAUAACAUGACGGCCAUUUGGAGAGAGAUAGCGGAGAUUCGCCAGGAUAUCAACCUCCACCUCCACGGCGGCCACCAGGAAAAAAA
This is a long non-coding RNA of Penaeus monodon (black tiger shrimp), 200 nucleotides long. RefSeq lists it as uncharacterized. The record is from RefSeq and is a predicted model, not a curated record. The transcript is spliced from 3 exons. Lineage: Eukaryota; Metazoa; Arthropoda; Malacostraca; Decapoda; Penaeidae.